AUCGAUGAAGAACGCAGCGAAAUGCGAUAAGUAAUGUGAAUUGCAGAAUUCAGUGAAUCAUCGAAUCUUUGAACGCACCUUGCGCUCCUUGGUAUUCCUUGGAGCAUGCCUGUUUGAGUAUCAUGAAAUUCUCAAAGCGAAUCUUUCGUUAACUCGAUGGACUUUGCUUUGGACUUGGAGGUCUGCGGAUUCACAGUCCGCUCCUCUCAAAUGCAUUAGCUGGAUCUCAGUGAGCUUGGUUCCACUCGGCGUGAUAAGUAUCACUCGCUGAGGACACCCGUAAAAAAGGUGGCCAGGGUCGCAGGUGAACCGCUUCUAAUGGUCUAUUGAUUUAGACAAUAAAUCUUUAUUUAAUGAUCUGAUCUCAAAUCAGGUAGGACUACCCGCUGAACUUAAGCAUAUCAAUAAGCGGAGGAAAAGAAACUAACAAGGAUUCCCCUAGUAACGGCGAGUGAAGCGGGAAGAGCUCAAAUUUAAAAUCUGGCGGUGUAUUCCGUCCGAGUUGUAGUCUAGAGAAGCGUCAUCCGCGCUGGACCAUGUACAAGUCUCUUGGAACAGAGCGUCAUAGAGGGUGAGAAUCCCGUCCUUGACAUGGACUCCCAGUGCUUUGUGUUGUGCUCUCGACGAGUCGAGUUGUUUGGGAAUGCAGCUCAAAAUGGGUGGUAAAUUCCAUCUAAAGCUAAAUAUUGGCGAGAGACCGAUAGCGAACAAGUACCGUGAGGGAAAGAUGAAAAGCACUUUGGAGAGAGAGUUAAACAGUACGUGAAAUUGUUGAAAUGGAAACGCUUGAAGUCAGUCGCGUUCUCUGGGAUUCAGCCUUGCUUCUGCUUGGUGCACUUCCUAGUCUACGGGCCAGCAUGGAUUUCGACCGAUGGAAAAAGGCUUGGGGAAUGUGGCACCUCCGGGUGUGUUAUAGCCCUUUGUCAGACACGUCGGUUGGGAUCGAGGACCUCAGUGCACGCUUCGGUUGUGCUUUGAUGCUGGCGUAAUGGCUUUAAACGACCCGUCUUGAAACACGG
Molecule: ribosomal RNA, 1019 nt
Filed under: uncultured Basidiomycota
Lineage: Eukaryota; Fungi; Basidiomycota
Description: eukaryotic LSU rRNA
Rfam family: Eukaryotic large subunit ribosomal RNA (bases 360-1019)
Source: RNAcentral